GAUGAACGCUGGCGGCGUGCUUAACACAUGCAAGUCGAACGGGAUCCAUCAAGCUUGCUUGGUGGUGAGAGUGGCGAACGGGUGAGUAAUGCGUGACCGACCUGCCCCAUACACCGGAAUAGCUCCUGGAAACGGGUGGUAAUGCCGGAUGUUCCAGUUGAUCGCAUGGUCUUCUGGGAAAGCUUUCGCGGUAUGGGAUGGGGUCGCGUCCUAUCAGCUUGACGGCGGGGUAACGGCCCACCGUGGCUUCGACGGGUAGCCGGCCUGAGAGGGAGACGGGCCACAUUGGGACUGAGAUACGGCCCAGACUCCUACGGGAGGCAGCAGUGGGGAAUAUUGCACAAUGGGCGCAAGCCUGAUGCAGCGACGCCGCGUGAGGGAUGGAGGCCUUCGGGUUGUAAACCUCUUUUAUCGGGGAGCAAGCGUGAGUGAGUUUACCCGUUGGAUAAGCACCGGCUAACUACGUGCCAGCCGCCGCAGUAA
This 483-nucleotide ribosomal RNA is filed under the name uncultured bacterium. Its description in RNAcentral is "partial 16S ribosomal RNA". It matches the Rfam family "Bacterial small subunit ribosomal RNA", at positions 28 to 523 of the family's 1533-position model. The record is from RNAcentral.